GGGUUGUGAGGUUAAGCGACUAAGCGUACACGGUGGAUGCCCUGGCAGUCAGAGGCGAUGAAGGGCGUGCUAAUCUGCGAUAAGCGCCGGUAAGGUGAUAUGAACCGUUAUAACCGGCGAUACCCGAAUGGGGAAACCCAGUGUGAUUCGUCACACUAUCAUUAACUGAAUCCAUAGGUUAAUGAGGCGAACCGGGGGAACUGAAACAUCUAAGUACCCCGAGGAAAAGAAAUCAACCGAGAUUCCCCCAGUAGCGGCGAGCGAACGGGGAGGAGCCCAGAGCCUGAAUCAGCAUGUGUGUUAGUGGAAGCGUCUGGAAAGGCGCGCGAUACAGGGUGACAGCCCCGUACACAAAAGCGCAUGUGCUGUGAGCUCGAUGAGUAGGGCGGGACACGUGGUAUCCUGUCUGAAUAUGGGGGGACCAUCCUCCAAGGCUAAAUACUCCUGACUGACCGAUAGUGAACCAGUACCGUGAGGGAAAGGCGAAAAGAACCCCGGCGAGGGGAGUGAAAAAGAACCUGAAACCGUGUACGUACAAGCAGUGGGAGCACAGGUUUACCUGUGUGACUGCGUACCUUUUGUAUAAUGGGUCAGCGACUUAUAUUCUGUAGCAAGGUUAACCGUAUAGGGGAGCCGUAGGGAAACCGAGUCUUAACCGGGCGUUAAGUUGCAGGGUAUAGACCCGAAACCCGGUGAUCUAGCCAUGGGCAGGUUGAAGGUUGGGUAACACUAACUGGAGGACCGAACCGACUAAUGUUGAAAAAUUAGCGGAUGACCUGUGGCUGGGGGUGAAAGGCCAAUCAAACCGGGAGAUAGCUGGUUCUCCCCGAAAGCUAUUUAGGUAGCGCCUCGUGAAUUCAUCUCCGGGGGUAGAGCACUGUUUCGGCUAGGGGGCCAUCCCGGCUUACCAACCCGAUGCAAACUGCGAAUACCGGAGAAUGUUAUCACGGGAGACACACGGCGGGUGCUAACGUCCGUCGUGAAGAGGGAAACAACCCAGACCGCCAGCUAAGGUCCCAAAGUCAUGGUUAAGUGGGAAACGAUGUGGGAAGGCCCAGACAGCCAGGAUGUUGGCUUAGAAGCAGCCAUCAUUUAAAGAAAGCGUAAUAGCUCACUGGUCGAGUCGGCCUGCGCGGAAGAUGUAACGGGGCUAAACCAUGCACCGAAGCUGCGGCAGCGACACUGUGUGUUGUUGGGUAGGGGAGCGUUCUGUAAGCCUGUGAAGGUGUGUCGUGAGGCAUGCUGGAGGUAUCAGAAGUGCGAAUGCUGACAUAAGUAACGAUAAAGCGGGUGAAAAGCCCGCUCGCCGGAAGACCAAGGGUUCCUGUCCAACGUUAAUCGGGGCAGGGUGAGUCGACCCCUAAGGCGAGGCCGAAAGGCGUAGUCGAUGGGAAACGGGUUAAUAUUCCCGUACUUGGUGUUACUGCGAAGGGGGGACGGAGAAGGCUAUGUUGGCCGGGCGACGGUUGUCCCGGUUUAAGCGUGUAGGUGUGUGUUCCAGGUAAAUCCGGUUCACUUUAACACUGAGGCGUGACGACGAGGCACUACGGUGCUGAAGCAACAAAUGCCCUGCUUCCAGGAAAAGCCUCUAAGCAUCAGGUAACAUCAAAUCGUACCCCAAACCGACACAGGUGGUCAGGUAGAGAAUACCAAGGCGCUUGAGAGAACUCGGGUGAAGGAACUAGGCAAAAUGGUGCCGUAACUUCGGGAGAAGGCACGCUGACACGUAGGUGAAGUGAUUUACUCAUGGAGCUGAAGUCAGUCGAAGAUACCAGCUGGCUGCAACUGUUUAUUAAAAACACAGCACUGUGCAAACACGAAAGUGGACGUAUACGGUGUGACGCCUGCCCGGUGCCGGAAGGUUAAUUGAUGGGGUCAGCGCAAGCGAAGCUCCUGAUCGAAGCCCCGGUAAACGGCGGCCGUAACUAUAACGGUCCUAAGGUAGCGAAAUUCCUUGUCGGGUAAGUUCCGACCUGCACGAAUGGCGUAAUGAUGGCCAGGCUGUCUCCACCCGAGACUCAGUGAAAUUGAACUCGCUGUGAAGAUGCAGUGUACCCGCGGCAAGACGGAAAGACCCCGUGAACCUUUACUAUAGCUUGACACUGAACAUUGAGCCUUGAUGUGUAG
RNAcentral lists this ribosomal RNA (2127 nucleotides) under Salmonella enterica subsp. enterica serovar Ordonez. RNAcentral describes it as "partial 23S ribosomal RNA". It matches the Rfam family "Bacterial large subunit ribosomal RNA", at positions 1 to 2141 of the family's 2925-position model. Lineage: Bacteria; Pseudomonadati; Pseudomonadota; Gammaproteobacteria; Enterobacterales; Enterobacteriaceae. The record is from RNAcentral.